CGGACGGGUGAGUAACGCGUGAGAAUCUACCUUCAGGUUGGGGACAACCACUGGAAACGGUGGCUAAUACCGAAUGUGCCGAGAGGUGAAAGGCUUGCUGCCUGAAGAAGAGCUUGCGUCUGAUUAGCUAGUUGGUAGUGUAAGAGACUACCAAGGCGACGAUCAGUAGCUGGUCUGAGAGGAUGAUCAGCCACACUGGGACUGAGACACGGCCCAGACUCCUACGGGAGGCAGCAGUGGGGAAUUUUCCGCAAUGGGCGAAAGCCUGACGGAGCAAUACCGCGUGAGGGAGGAAGGCUCUUGGGUUGUAAACCUCUUUUCUCAGGGAAGAACAGAAUGACGGUACCUGAGGAAUAAGCAUCGGCUAACUCCGUGCCAGCAGCCGCGGUAAUACGGAGGAUGCAAGCGUUAUCCGGAAUGAUUGGGCGUAAAGGGUCCGCAGGUGGCAUUGUAAGUCUGCUGUUAAAGAGUUUGGCUCAACCAAAUAAGAGCAGUGGAAACUACAAAGCUAGAGUGUGGUCGGGGCAGAGGGAAUUCCUGGUGUAGCGGUGAAAUGCGUAGAUAUCAGGAAGAACACCAGUGGCGAAGGCGCUCUGCUAGGCCGAGAC
RNAcentral lists this ribosomal RNA (608 nucleotides) under Dolichospermum sp. LEGE 00241. Its description in RNAcentral is "bacterial SSU rRNA". It matches the Rfam family "Bacterial small subunit ribosomal RNA", at positions 99 to 740 of the family's 1533-position model. The record is from RNAcentral. Lineage: Bacteria; Bacillati; Cyanobacteriota; Cyanophyceae; Nostocales; Aphanizomenonaceae.